Bos taurus (domestic cattle) is the source of this 2481-nucleotide long non-coding RNA. The record is from Ensembl. NCBI's taxonomy places the organism in Eukaryota, Metazoa, Chordata, Mammalia, Artiodactyla, Bovidae.
UCCCAAAUGCAAGAGUCCUGAGACAAAUUCCUGUAACUGAGUUUAUUGAUGAGUCCAGGGCAUCUGAGGAGGCCCUGGCAGGGAGGGACACUAGGCAAGAUGGACACACGUUCAUGCUUGGUGUGUGCUCCUGAUGUUCGGAGCCUCCAGACUCGGUGCGGGCGGGCGGGGCCCCUCACACGCGGGCCCCCCCACUCGGGCCCCCUCCCAGGCACCCGCAAGUGUGGGAAGGGUGCUGGGCGGGGGCACGGGCCAAGGAGGCCUACACAUUCAGCAGUGUGCACACACGCGCGCUUACACACGCUCAGAGACCAGGGCUGGCUCCAGAGCCCCAACCAGUGCAAACGACUUUUAGUGCAAAUUGAUUCAAGGGGGACGGGGAGAACGGGGCUCUGGAGGCUCUGAGUCUCCUGAGCAAAGGAUAGCAGAGAGAAGAUCAGAAAAUAGAGUCAGAAAAGGAGGAAAAGGAGGGAGGGAGGCUGUCGGUGGUCUCGGGGCUGAGGCAGGGGGGGGCCGCAGAGAUGGAGUCGCCGGGCCGGGGUGGGUGUCGCCGCGGGGGCUGCUCUUCCGGUGGUGUGGGUCGUCCGUUCCUUUAGGUCAACCUGCGGACAGAGAGAAGGCGUGAGGGCGGGGCAGGCUGGGCCGGGGGGCGGGGCGGGGGCACUUCGCAGGGGACAGUACCUUCCAGAGCUGAUUCCUGAGUUAGGGUGUGUAGUGGUUCCAAAAUGCAGCAUAUUCUUGAGUCAGAGCUAGAAGACUUGAAGAAGUCCGUGUUCCAAGUCCCAGGCAUGAGCUGGGUAGCACCAUCUCUGCGGGGAGGGAGAGCGUGAGUGCCCACCUCUGGGGCCCAUGCGCCCCGCCACCCUGCAUGUGGCGGGCCCUCUCACCUUGUCAUCUUGAGGGUUCUGGGUGUCUGAAGAGCAGCAGUGGUGUGUCUGCUCCGUCAGGAGACUAAAGGAACGUCGAUAUCCGGGCUCCCCGCGGGGCCAGUGUCCUAUGGGAGAGAGGCGCCUAUGAGGCUCAGUGCGGGUCAGCGGGCCCCGGGUGGGGGCACCGCCCGCAUCUGCACUCACCUGGGAGGCUGGACGGUCCCGCCUGCUCUCUCCAUCACACCGGACCAUAUCAUAUCCCUCUGUGCGCGUCCUGGCCGCCCGGCCUCCGUGGCUGGCAGGCACCAACACCCCACUGGAGACGUGGCUGUGGGCAGAGAGAGAGAGGUGGGGGGCGCUGACUGGGUGGGCAGAGGUGGCCAAGGGCAUCAGGAGGGCAGCGGGCUGGACACUCACCUCCGUCUCCGUUCCGAGCUCAGAGGCACCGAUCCCGCUCCGUCAUCGCCCGCAGAGGCCCGCCUUGGCCACGAGCUCGAAGUCCAAUGCCCCUCCCACUGGCUCGGUGCCCGGCUCUGGCCCCUCGCCCCUGCCUGUGCCCUGGCCUCCCUUCCCCCGAGAGUGCACAUUCACGCCCCCCCACCCGCCCCACCUAGCCUGGUCUCGCCCGUGUCCUUGACUCCCCUGGGUGCUGUUCUAUCUCUCAUGCCCAUCCCAAGGGCCAGCGGUUCGGGUCAAGUGUCCCCAGUGUCCCCAAGUGCACUGGGGCCCUCCCGCGUGGCUCCCGGGCCGCAGUGCUGCGUGGGGCUGGCGUCCACGGGCUGGGCCCGCGCAGCCUCCCUGCUGCAGGUAUCUCUCCGGGCCUGUCCCGCGGCCACCGCCCCCCAGAUGACAUCCCGCCGCGGUUGCCCGCGCACUGCGCUGCCUUCUCUCUCAUUCUCCGGCCCUCGAGGCUCUGGCUCAGGCCUGAGAACGCCUGGCCGGAGCCGCUCCUGUGACCUACUACUAAGUGAAUUACAGUGGGUGAAGUGGCGGCUGGGAACCCCUCUGUCCUGAGUCCCCACCCUGUCCUGCUCGCCCCGGGGGCCUGAGUGCCCCCUACACGUGCUGGCAGCCCUGCCUGCUAAGCUCCCGCCUGGCUCUCUGGAAAUGCCCUUGCCACCUGGGGCAGCCCGCGGCACCCCAUCCCGCGGCCCCCAGCCCGCCCUGUCUCAGCUCCCCUGAGACGAUAUCACCUGUGCUGCCUGACCAGCCUGCGUCCUGCUCUGCCGGGAGGCCAGCCUCUCCACCUCGCUGGCCCGCGCUCCCCAGAACCUCCUUCUGCAGGAGACCAGGAGAGCAAGGACCAGCGAGGAGAAGGGGACUCACCUGGCCGGCAGAGCGCUGUCUUCACCUGCCCACGGCUGCCAGCUACGCCUCCGCUGCCCCAGCCCCAGGGCGAGCCUCUGUCAAGACCCCUGUCCACCAGUCGCCACGAUCUGAAACCAAAAUUGACCGGGAUGAAUGCCUGGCUCCAGAUGUCCAAGGUGAUCCUUGGCCCACCCCACGCAAACUUCCCUGCACCCCACUUCCCCGUCUUCCCCCGGUUACCCCUCCGCGUCCCCGUUUCCCCAGUUCCCCCCGUUUCCCCAGUUCCCCCAGUUUCCCCCGUGCC